AUGCAAGUCGAACGAACCUUCGGGUUAGUGGCGGACGGGUGAGUAACGCGUGGGAAUCUGCCCUCAGGAGGGGGAUAACGGCUGGAAACGGCCGCUAAUACCCCAUAUGCCGAGAGGUGAAAUGAAUUUCGCCUGAGGAUGAGCCCGCGUCUGAUUAGCUAGUUGGUGAGGUAAGAGCUCACCAAGGCAUCGAUCAGUAGCUGGUCUGAGAGGAUGAUCAGCCACACUGGGACUGAGACACGGCCCAGACUCCUACGGGAGGCAGCAGUGGGGAAUUUUCCGCAAUGGGCGAAAGCCUGACGGAGCAACGCCGCGUGAGGGAUGAAGGCCUCUGGGCUGUAAACCUCUUUUCUCAAGGAAGAAGAUCUGACGGUACUUGAGGAAUAAGCCACGGCUAAUUCCGUGCCAGCAGCCGCGGUAAUACGGGAGUGGCAAGCGUUAUCCGGAAUUAUUGGGCGUAAAGCGUCCGCAGGCGGCCCUUCAAGUCUGCUGUUAAAACGUGGAGCUUAACUCCAUCAUGGCAGUGGAAACUGUUGGGCUUGAGUGUGGUAGGGGCAGAGGGAAUUCCCGGUGUAGCGGUGAAAUGCGUAGAUAUCGGGAAGAACACCAGUGGCGAAGGCGCUCUGCUGGGCCAUAACUGACGCUCAUGGACGAAAGCCAGGGGAGCGAAAGGGAUUAGAUACCCCUGUAGUCCUGGCCGUAAACGAUGAACACUAGGUGUCGGGGGAAUCGACCCCCUCGGUGUCGUAGCCAACGCGUUAAGUGUUCCGCCUGGGGAGUACGCACGCAAGUGUGAAACUCAAAGGAAUUGACGGGGGCCCGCACAAGCGGUGGAGUAUGUGGUUUAAUUCGAUGCAACGCGAAGAACCUUACCAGGGUUUGACAUCCUGCGAACCUCUUGGAAACGAGAGGGUGCCUUCGGGAACGCAGUGACAGGUGGUGCAUGGCUGUCGUCAGCUCGUGUCGUGAGAUGUUGGGUUAAGUCCCGCAACGAGCGCAACCCACGUCUUUAGUUGCCAGCAUUUAGUUGGGCACUCUAGAGAGACCGCCGGUGAUAAACCGGAGGAAGGUGUGGAUGACGUCAAGUCAUCAUGCCCCUUACAUCCUGGGCUACACACGUACUACAAUGCUACGGACAAAGAGCAGCAAGUUCGCGAGGACAAGCAAAUCUCAUAAACCGUGGCUCAGUUCAGAUCGUAGGCUGCAACUCGCCUACGUGAAGGAGGAAUCGCUAGUAAUCGCAGGUCAGCAUACUGCGGUGAAUACGUUCCCGGGCCUUGUACACACCGCCCGUCACACCAUGGAAGUUGGCCACGCCCGAAGCCGUUACUCCAACCCUUGUGGAGGAGGAC
This 1352-nucleotide ribosomal RNA is filed under the name Synechococcus sp. KORDI-50. Its description in RNAcentral is "bacterial SSU rRNA". It matches the Rfam family "Bacterial small subunit ribosomal RNA". Lineage: Bacteria; Bacillati; Cyanobacteriota; Cyanophyceae; Synechococcales; Synechococcaceae. The record is from RNAcentral.